This 253-nucleotide ribosomal RNA is filed under the name uncultured bacterium. Its description in RNAcentral is "partial 16S ribosomal RNA". It matches the Rfam family "Bacterial small subunit ribosomal RNA", at positions 524 to 776 of the family's 1533-position model. The record is from RNAcentral.
UACGGAGGGUGCAAGCGUUAAUCGGAAUUACUGGGCGUAAAGCGUGCGCAGGCGGUUUGUUAAGUCCGAUGUGAAAUCCCCGAGCUCAACUUGGGAAUUGCAGUGGAUACUGGCAAGCUGGAGUAUGGUAGAGGAAGGUGGAAUUCCCGGUGUAGCAGUGAAAUGCGUAGAGAUCGGGAGGAACACCAGUGGCGAAGGCGGCCUUCUGGACCAAUACUGACGCUCAUGCACGAAAGCGUGGGGAGCAAACAGG